Xiphophorus maculatus (southern platyfish) is the source of this 10911-nucleotide RNA transcript. RefSeq lists it as uncharacterized. The record is from RefSeq and is a predicted model, not a curated record. Lineage: Eukaryota; Metazoa; Chordata; Actinopteri; Cyprinodontiformes; Poeciliidae. The transcript is spliced from 15 exons.
AGACAAGGAAGCAAAGAGAUUUCGGCUAAAGAAAUCUGAACUUGAAAAGAGAACACAAAAUGCUUUAUGUGUACUAGUGUGAUUGUAUGGACAAAAAGCCACCUGAAGAAAACCCGCAGCCGCAGAAACUGAGUCAGUAAAGUAGCUAACUAUGCUAGCUCAGGUUAUUUGCCGCCAUUUCUUCAAGUUGCCAUCCCUCCCCCAAUAAAACAGCUUGUGGUACAGUGGUAAAACAGUAUUUCCACAUAUUGCCACGUUUAAGCUGUGAUAGCUCCCACAUAUUUUGUAGUGUAACACUAAUAACUCCCACAUAUUUUCUAGUGUAACACUCUGAAGAAAGCCAGUUAGCAAGUUGUUAACAUGUAAACACAUGUGCGCGGAAGUAACGCCUAUAAAUCACACAAAGCAUCAUGGGAGCUAGAAAUUUGCUGGAAAGAAGAUAAAUGUUUUAGACCCACAGGAAGCUAAUUAAGUGCUGCAGUGUUUUUAAGUCUCGUAAUUUUGUUCGUAUCUUCACAUGUAACAUCUCUGUUUUUUUAAAGUAUAUUUUUAACCAAGUUGUAAAGUGUACUUAUGUUUGCACCAGUUGUGAAAAAUAUAUUGUCCUUGUUUAGAAACCUUAGAACAGUUUUAACUUUAUUCUUGUAUUUAAGAAAAUAAAUAUUCACCUAUUUUUAACAUAUAUAUAUUUUUACGGUUGUUUUUUAAUUGAAAUUUAUUUUGCUUGUAUUUACAGCUUCUCUCUUCUGCGAGACUUUGUGAUUUGGAAGUUUUCCACUGCUGCCUGCUACGAAUCUGACCUCUGCAUCAUCACACCAUCUAAUUAAUUCACUUAUACUGAUACCUGUUGAUCCUAUAGAGAUAUAUUUUAUCUAGAUAUUAAGAAAAGCACAUAGUAACAUUGAGUUAAAAGCAUUCACAAACACAUAUAAUAUUGUUUGAAUAACCAGCUUUCCGCCCCCCCAGGUGUCUUCUUUUUUUUUUCUGCUGUUACAGGAUGCCACGUAGAGGACGACGCUCCGAGGCUGCCAAGGUGAGAUGGAGAAAGCUGGAGAUUGUGCCGGUCGACGCAAAGCCUGGGACACCACCGCUCGCACCCAGCGCUUGGAACCCAACUCGGUCUCCGCCAAAGAAGAUGUCCCGACUGCUGGAGGGUGAACUGCACGACCAAAUGUCGCCUCCCGUGGUGCGUCAGGAGGAGCCCCGUGUGCCACCGACCUCUCCUGGGUUACGCCGUGGGACGGGGCGUCGCCAUCGGGUGGAGACGUGGCCAGCCUCCCGGGUGACCAGACGGAGCUGCAAGUUGGUUCUGCCUACUGCCGGGGCUCUGGAGAAGAAGUUUGCUCUUUUGGUUGGUGAUUCCCAUCUGCGUGCUUUUGUGGAUGGGUAUUCUACCAUGCCAAAGGGCGACUUCUCCUUAGGGGUGCUUGCAUCCCCCGGUGCCUCUGCGGAAGAGUUGCGGCUUGAGGUGCUGGAUGCAGUUCUGCCUCGGCCCCCCGAGGUGAUCUGUCUUCUGGCCCCAAGUAACAACUUAACCGCCAGCAGGACUUUCGUGGAGGCCGGAGCAGCGUUUGACGCUUUGUUGAGUACCGUCUGCAACCUCUCUGCUAAUGUGGUCGUUGUGGACUUUCCACCGCGCCUUUGCGUGGAGGUCAGUGUGCAACAGCUGCUGCGGCAGGAGUUUCAACGUGUGGCUGGUCAGAGAAGUGUUCGGUACUUGCCUGUCACUGAACACUUCCCGUUGAGCUGCCUGGCAUUGUGGAGCAGGGAUGGCGUUCACUUGAGCGACCAUCCUGGGAUGGAGGUCCUUGCUCAGUUGCUUGAGGCGGCGGUCUGCUCGCAACUUGAGUUAAGUGCAUCGAAAUCUCCUGCUCCUGUGAUGUUGGCUGAUCCCCCUCCUGGGACGGCUUCCCCCCCCCCGGUGAGACGUCCCCUGCCCCGGAUGGUUGUGGUUAGCGAGGAGGCUGCUCCGCGUCGUUCGGAGUCCUUCGCCUGGACUGUGGUUGGUGGUGGUCGGAAGGGAGACCUGCUGGAUUCUUCCAUCCCCCCCAAUCCCGUGUGCUUCAGCCCAGCGUUGCUGGAGGAGAUGGACCGGAUCGUUCCUGCGUCUGGCCUUGAAACUCCGCUACCUACAUGUUCUCCAAAGGGGAAAAAGAAGGCGACUGUCAGGCGUCGUCCAAUUUCCUACCCCUCCAAGCUGAAUCCAGUGGAGCAGCAGAUGGAGGGAGCGCCGAGAGAGACCAACAGCAAAGCUCGUCGCCAGGCACAGAGUCCUGUACCCCCGAUGAACGUCCAGGACGAGUCCUCUUCCGUGCCACAGGAGGAACAUUUUUGGGAUGGGAGCUGCAAGGCUUCUGCACUAGAAGUCAGGAUCAGCAGUCCACCUGUCCUGUUGGUAAGUGCUACACAUUCCCAGGCCGACAAGAGGUAUGCUGCAUUUUCCCGUAAUCACCAGUGCACAUGCAUGGCACUCACAUUUUUAGCUUACCACAAUGAGGGGUUGCAGUUUGACACAGUGAUGCUUGAUAGAGUGAUUGAAAAAGGAGACCAACUUUAUGCCGGCGUUAAACAGCAACUGAUCAGUGAUGGAACAUUUCGUGACAAUCACUUGACGUUUGAACAGAUGCCUGACCAUGUACUCACAGAUAGGAACAUCUAUGCAGUACACACAACUGGUUUAAGGGUAGGUCAUGUUUUUGCUCGUAGCAGGAGCGCUCAAGGAUCUCGACAAUUGGGUUUGCAUCUUGCCCUGCAACUGGAAUGUCUGUCGGAAAAUGUAACCCAUGCUUUCCUUUUGGUGACUCCAGAGUGCAUUGCAGUUUUCAGGGACAGAAGCGGUCGGUUUGGAGUUUUUGAUUCCCACUCAAGAAAUUCAGCAGGCCUGCCCCACCCCAGUGGAACUGCAGUAAUGAUGACUUUCUGCAACCUGUCUGACUUGGUCAGCCAUCUAUUGAAGCUCUUUCGAAAUCGCGGCCCCAAUGCCACCUAUGAGUUUGUGCCAGUAGGUUUUGACAGGGAAAAUGAAGAUCAUCCUCAGAACUUGACUUUUGACAACAUUUCACCUGUAGCAACACAGGUAAGUCCAACUGCUUUGAAAUCAGAGAGUCCGUCUGAUGAGGAAAUGCCUCCUUGGCUUAGGGAAGUUGCAAACGUAUUAGAGGAGAGACCUCCAACCAUUACAAAUUUGUCAAAAGUGCCAAAAACCGAUAGAAGAAAAAUUAAAAACAGGAUCAAAACACAACAGAGACAGAAUGUAGGAAGUAAAAUGAAACAAAGUUCAUCUGAAAAAGAAAGAUAUCUGACAUCUCCAACAUUUAGGACCAAAAAGCUACAGGCCUUAAAAGAAAACUAUAUUCUUCAUAAAGUAGAGAGGAAGGAUCAGUUAAAUAACAGAUAUAGAACAGAUGCAUUUUUCCGGAAGAGACGAAUAAAUUACAUUAAGGACAGAUUCGAUUUUGUCCGUAGCUUCAGAGACAGUCAUAAAGCCAAGAUGGCUGAGUAUAUGAAGAAACGAUUCAGAGAGGAUCCGGCCUUUAGAAGCAGAAAAAAAUCAAACAUCAGGAAUCGAUUCAGAGAUGAUCCGGCCUUUAGAAGCAGACAAAAAGCAUACAUCAGGAAUCGAUUCAGAGAUGAUCCGGCCUUUAGAAGCAGACAAAAAGCAUACAUCAGGAAUCGAUUCAGAGAUGAUCCGGCCUUUAGAAGCAGACAAAAAUCAUACAUCAGGAAUCGAUUCAGAGAUGAUCCGGCCUUUAGAAGCAGACAAAAAUCAUACAUCAGGAAUCGAUUCAGAGAUGAUCCGGCCUUUAGAAGCAGACAAAAAUCAAAUAUCAGAAAUCGAUUCAGAAACGAUCCGGUCUUCAGAAGCACACACAAAAAAACAAUGCGUGAAUAUAUGAAGGCGAAGUAUCAUAGUGAGCCUGCUUAUCGAGCAAAACAUAAAGAAAAAUGUGCUGCCAACAGAAGAGGCAGACUAUCAAGAGAAGCACAUUCCCAAAAUUUAACACUGCAGCAUGCUUUGCGAAUCACAAGGAAGUAUAAAAGAAACGUAAGCUUCCACCUUGAAACUCCAAGCUCUCUGAUAACUGAGGAAAUGAAAGCUGCAAUACAAAACUUUUAUAAGAACAUUAAAAACGGACCCACAUAUGUUUGCACCGUGUGUCACAGAGCUCUUUUCCCCAAUCAAGUAAAGCGCUGUAAACGAGAUAAAUAUACCAAGAAUAUGCGUGUAGUAGCUGAUUGUCUAACCGGUACAUAUGUUCAUGUGUGUGGAUCUGCAUGCUCAACCCCAUGUUCUGUACCCGAAGAAAGGAUGGGGGAGUGGAUCUGCUACACAUGUGACAGCCAUCUAACCAGAGGAAAGAUGCCAUCUAUUGCUGCUGUUAAUAACCUUCACCUAGCUUCUGUUCCACCAGAGCUUGCGGAAUUGAAUGUACUUGAACGGCAAUUAAUUGCAAAAAUUCUACCUUUUGCAAAAAUUGUUUCCUUGCCCAAAGGACAGCAAAGGGCAAUACAUGGAGCGGUUGUCUGUGUUCCUUCUGAAAUGGAAACAGUCGUAAACAGUCUUCCGAGGCCCCGUGAGGAAGCCCAGCUUUUACAGGUGAAGCUGAAGAGAAAAACCAAGUAUAAAGGAUACCAAUACUUUUACACAGUAAACAUGAAAAAUGUCUUAGCUGCACUGACCAAGCUUAAAGACAGUCAUCCGGAUUACAAAGAAGUAAGUAUAAAUGAAAGUGCAACAUUUGAAGAUUUCCAAGAGGAUCAGCCAGUUGAGGACUUGGAAACAGAAGCAGCGGAGACUGAAAUGGAUAUAGAAGCAGACCAGCAACCUGACCACAUAGGGAUAGAGCAUCAGGCACUUCGACCUGGUCUGAUCUUGGACACCUGCAUGCAGCCUCCUGACAUAGCACAGGAAGUAUUGUCAUAUGGAGAAGGGAUUUUCAGCAUUGCGCCGGCUCAGGGGAACAAGCCCAUCUCCUUCUUCAGUGUUCCAAGACUUGAAGCCAAGGCUUAUCCUGUACAUUUCCCAACUGGAAUAAACACAUUAGAUGAAGCCCGCCGUGUUGCACUUUCACCGAGUAUGUAUUUCAAUGUACGACUUUUCUCAAUAGAUACUCGGUUUGCCAAAGACCAGAGUUACCUUUUCUUUGCUCAGUUUGUCACGGAAACUCAUAUUGCCAAUAGUAGUAUGUCCAUUCAGAGAAGAAAAGGGAAACCAAGCACCAAAGAUGGGAAAAAUAUUUCCAGCAAAAUGCUGCAGGAUAAAGAGGAGUUGCAAAAACUUAUCCAGAAUAAAGAGGCUACCCGUUUCAUGCAACCCUUAAGAGGAACUCCAGCUUAUUGGGAGAAAGGGUUACGUGAUUUGCACGCCAUGGUGAGGCAACUUGGAAAGCCCACUUUCUUUUGCACGUUCUCUGCUGCUGAAAUGAGAUGGCCAGAAGUCAUUGAGGCCAUCAAAGGUCAACAUGGCGAGCAGGUAGAUUUUUCUGAGCUUGACUGGAAUGCAAAAUGUGACAUUCUUAGAAGCAACCCUGUAACCGUCAUGCGCAUGUUUGAAAAGAGAGUGGAUGCACUGUUUAGAGACCUCAUUCUUUCCCCUGCACAGCCCCUUGGAGCAGUGGACGAUUACUUUUAUCGUGUAGAAUUUCAGGCAAGGGGUUCACCACACAUACAUGCUGUGAUAUGGAUUAAGGAUGCACCUGAAAUGGAAGACCCCUCAUGUUGCGGUGAAGUCAUAAAGUUCAUCGAUCGUCACAUAUCCUGUCAGUUGCCUGAUGAAACCAGAGAUCCAGAGCUUCACAAAAUAGUCACAGAGGUUCAAAUGCACAGCAAAAAGCACUCAAAAUCAUGCAAAAAAGGUAAUGUUGAAUGCAGAUUUGGAUUCCCCAAACUAGCAAUGGACCGCACCAGAAUCACCGUCCCAGUAAUUGACUUUGAUUUGGAAAUUGAUGAUGAAACACCAAAGCAAAGUAAGCCAAAAGGUAGGAGAAAUUCCAAAAAAUCGAGAUCACCAUUUGUCUCAAACCUACAAAGAGAGGCUAAGAAGAAACUGAAAACAGUUAGAGAUUUACUUAAAGAUGAGAAAUCAUCUUUCAGGGAUUUGUCAGAGUUACUCCAGGCUUGUAAUAUGACUAAAAUAGAGUACAAUGGCCAUGUUGAUGCUCUCACUUCUGGAAUGGUGGUAAUGAUGAAACGGGAUCCUAAAGAUAGCUGGGUCAAUGGGUACAACCCCGAUCUCCUUCGUGCAUGGAAUGCUAACAUGGACAUUCAGUAUGUGCUUGAUGAGUACACCUGCAUUGAGUACAUGAUGUCCUACAUAGCCAAGCCAGAGCAUGAAAUGGCGCAGUUCCUCAAGUCUGUUGUUGAUGAUUUAAAGACGGCCAAUGUUAGCCAACGCGAUGAGAUGAAGAAGAUCAUGCAGGCUUAUUCAAAACAGAGAGAGGUUAGUGCUCAAGAAUCCGUUGCGCGCACUUGUAGCCUACCUCUCAAAAAGUCCUCUCGUAGUGUCCUUUUUCUUCAAACAGAUGAAGACGGUAUAAAAAUGAGUCUUCCAAUGAGUAAACUCGUAAACAUGUCCCCAGAUGAAGAGAAUGUGUGGAUGAAAGGAUUGCCGGAAAAAUAUCUCAACAGACCAGACACAUUAGAAUUCGAACACAUGUGCCUGGCAGAAUUUGCAUCAGAAUACCGGGUUCUAUAUGGUAGGCAAAUUGAAGGGCCAAAUGCAAUUGCCCUCCUUAAUGAUGCAGGAUACAUCCAGAAAAGAACUAUCGGCAAACCUGCAGUUAUUAGAUUUACUCGUUUCUCUGAGAAAAAAACACCCGAAAAGUUUUACAGACGGCUUCUGAAGUUGUAUUUUCCUCAUAGACGAGAUGAGGACCUAAAAAAUGAGGAAUGCACAACCUACGAAGCCUUUUACAACAACGGUUUUCGUGGUAGAUAUCGGGUUAAACAGUAUGUGGAUUUCAAUUGCAAAAGGUAUGAAGGGCAAGGUAAGAAAAUUGAUAAGAUUAUGGAAGAUCUGAAUAAGCAAGGACCGGUUCGUAAUGCGUGGAACACUUUUGCACCAGAGGUUGAGGUAGACAGUUUAGAAUGCGCUGCUGAGCGACCACCAUUGCAAGAAGAUGAAGAGCAAGACCCUAUUCCAGAUUAUGAAAUUGAUGUCAGCACUGUAGACAUGCCAAAAAUUGAAGCUCCUAAACUGAGCCCUGAUUUCAUCAGACAAAUGUACAGGAGUUUAAAUGAGACUCAAGCGUCCGUGUUUUACGCCAUUCGCGAUUGGUGUCUGAAGCGCGUCUGGGGUGAGAAACCAGAACCAUUCUUUUAUUUCUUGACGGGAGGAGCCGGAUGUGGUAAAUCUCAUGUCAUCAAAUGUGUUUAUCAGGAGGCAACCAAGCUCUUGCGCCAGCUUCCGAGAAUUCUCGAUAUUGGUGACAUGUCCAAGCCCACUGUGCUCCUCACAGCUUUUACUGGUACUGCAGCGUACAACAUAUCAGGGAAGACUUUACAUUCCAUCUUGAAGCUACCCAAAAGUUUAAAACCACCAUACAAGGGACUUGGAAAUUCAUUGGAUGAAGUGAGGGCAGUUCUUUCUAAUGUAGAAAUCUUAAUCAUCGAUGAAAUCUCCAUGGUCUCCAAAGACCUACUUGCAUAUGUUCACUGGAGAUUUCAACAAAUCAAGGGGAACAACAGGUUCAUGGGUGGGGUCUCUGUUUUGGCUGUGGGGGAUUUCUUCCAACUUCCUCCUCUUGGACGAUCAAAACCGCUUUGUGUCGCCGAGGAUGGCGUGCUUGAUAUCUGGAAUGAGAAUUUCCAGAUGAUCAGCCUGACAGAAAUCAUGCGGCAGAAAGAUGACCGAACGUUUGCAGAGCUCCUGAACAGGAUUCGAGUUAAAGGUAAAGCCGAUUCACUUAGUAAGGAUGACAAGACUCUUUUGAUCCAAGCUGUUACUGACUCAAAAGAGUGUCCAAUGGAUGUUCUGCACAUUUUUGCAACAAACAAACAGGUGGACACCCAUAAUGCAGCAGUUGUGACCUCUUUAGGUGUAGUAACAGUUGAUAUCGAGGCAGAGGACUACAAAAGGGUUACAAAGACAGGAAACAUGAUUAAUCUGGGCUGUUGCAUAGCGGGCAACAAACGAGACUUGUCUAACAACAUACAGGCUGGUUUGGGUUUUAGGGUAAUGAUUAUAAGAAACUUGGAUGUAGAGGAUGGUCUUGUUAAUGGAACAUUUGGGACCAUUGCGGAUAUUGUCACCAGUACGAAAGAUGGAAAGAAUAGUGUAAAGUUAAUUGGACUCAAACUGGACAAUCCCCUCGCUGGACACACAAAAAAGAUUCAGGGUAAACCAGACAGCUUUGUUUACAUUGAGAGAUUUGAGGAACAGAGUAGCGUAAAGGGAGUGGUACGACGGCAAUUUCCAAUCAGGUUAGCCUUUGGGUGUACAGCACACAAAGUCCAAGGGAUGACCAUGAAGUCUGCGGUUAUUUCUUUGAAGCGUAUUUUUGAACCGGGAAUGGCAUAUGUGGCACUCAGUCGCACAACUUCCCUGGAAGGACUUAAAAUCAUUGAUUUUGAUGAAAGUAAGAUCUACGCUGACAAAAACAUCAGAGCAGCUAUGGAAUCAAUGAGAUCAGCAUCGUUUUUGCAUAUCAGACCACUCUUGCAUUUUCAGUCUGGUCAUCAAGGUGCAACAUUAACAAUUGUCCACCACAAUGUCGAAGGUCUUGUCUGUCACUCUGAGGACAUGAAACAACAUCAUGAACUUAUGCUGGCAGAUGUCUUAUGCCUAACGGAGACUCAUUUAUUUGGAUCUUCUGUUCCAGCUUCUUGCCAAAUGGAGGGCUAUUCUUUCUUUUCACGGAACAGACAUGUCUCCUACUCAAACAGAGUCGACAUUGCUACCAAAGAGGGUGGGGGAGUAGCGACUUACUGCCGGAGUCUUCUCCAACCGCAGGAACGUAGAUUCUUCAACCAGGUUACAGAUAUUGAAUUCAACGUUGUGAAAGUGGAAACCCCAAUCAGAGCACUGAUUGCGACAGUUUACAGGCCACCAAGUUAUGAUCUUGGAACAUUUUUAAGAAAUCUGCAGAACCUCUUGGAUGGCCUGAAUUCAAUGGAUAUUCGGCCCGUUGUCAUAUUGGGAGACUUCAAUGAGGACCUUAUUCCUCCUGGGAAAAAAGCCAUCAAUGAGUUGUUUAGAGCAAAAGGCUUUAUGCAACUCAUCUCUGAUGCAACCACAGAAAAACGUACCCUCCUUGAUCACAUUUACAUCUCCAAUCCAGAAUACUGUAUCCAAUCAGGUGUCUUGCAGGCUUACUACAGCUACCACAAUCCUAUAUACUGUGUGUUAGCUUCAGUAUAAACUGCAUCUACAGUGGCUUCCAAAAAUAGUUAUGUUCCUUGAAAUUUUCCUAAUCAUAAGGGGUAUUUUUCUUGAUCUUUUAUAUUAAAUUCCGAUGAAAUAUAUUUGUGGUUGUAAUGUAACAAUAUGGAACAGUUCAAGGAGUAUGAUUACUUUGUAAGCACUGUAAAUCUUAAUCCUGAAUUCAUGACAGGAUAUUAUUUUUGGAGAACAUGUAAAGAUCUUGCAUCAUUUUAUGUGACUGUGGGUUUUUUUGUAUAUGCAGCAAUCAGAAAGCAGUGUGGGUUGUUUUUCUCUAUCAUUGUUGCAGAGGGUUUGAUAUAUAUUUAUUCAUUGUACACAUUUGUGAAUUAUAGUGUAGCUUGUGGAUUUUGUUGUAGGAAUAAAAAUAUUCUUGUACAGUUUGCAAAUCUUUUCAAUACUUAUUUAGUUCCGUAGAAAGGAGGCUUCAUAACCAGGGUUUGUAUGUGCCCAUGAAACUUUGUUUGAGGUUUGGGAAUACGAAAGUGGCUGAUCUUGAAACACUUAUCGGUUCUCUGUCAGAGUAGUUGCUGGAAAUAUUGGACCAGGAAGCGGUAGAUUAAAAAAUCAGUUACUACACGUAUAUUCUGUUCUAUUUUGAAAUAAAAAUUAUUUCAAAUUGGUCUUCAAUCUGGCACAUAGCAUUUUCCUCAUUUUUCUAAUGCAGUUAGAGUAACUGUUACCCUUCGAGUAAGUUAAUUUUUUGCAAAACUCUUUUUUUAUUCUUCACAAUUUGCGUCAUUCAAUUAAAGCUCUCCUUGUUUCAUCUCUCCCCAAUGAUACUGCACUUUUUACUGCUGCAGCCCCCUAGGGGUUACUUCACUAGAAGGACAAAAGUUGAACUCACUUUUGUCCUGUUGGACUCCCUCCACAUACUGAGAAUUUGUGUUGUUUUGAUGGAAUUAACCUCUUUCCUCCCAGUUUUAGUCUGUUUUUGCAGGUUGUUCCACACAAACAAUCCUUGGAAGCUGCUAAGAAGAGAGAGGAAACGAGACCUGGAGGUUUGGCGCAUGAGAGUUAGCAAAUUGCAGGACAACCCUUGCCUAGCUCAUAGACUUGGUCCCACACCCAAUCUGAGGAGAAGAUGGAGUUCCUGUUUCUUUAGAUAGUCUGUGAAGUGUCACACCAGAUUGGAUGCCUAAGAAGAAGUUGGGAAAAAUCAAAAAGCUUUGGAGAAGCGAUUCUUUUUUGUUGUUGUUAUUCUUUAUAGUUGUAAAUAGUUUUUGAUGUAUGUAUAUAUUUAAGAUGGUUUCAUUUAUUGUAUAGAGACUGCAAUAUGUUACAUUAGAUUAAUUUAAAAUAUGUUUUCAUGUAUGUAUAUAGUUAUAAAGGUUUCACAUUUAUAACAAGUGGAUCAUCAUGGCAAAGCCAUAAUGUUUCACUUGUGACAGUAAAUCUGUCAGGCCUCACCUUGACACUCAGGCAACAACCCUGAGUGCCACACGGCCGGACAGGACACAUGUAAAAUAAAAAAGAUAGCAAUUUCUUUUUAUUGCAGAGACAUUAGAUUCUUAAAUUUAUGGUAUUCUUUA